ACAUGAGCAUCUCUAUAAAAAAAUAAGUUAUACAGUUAACACACAUAAUAGACCUUACUAUGCACAGGAGAGUAGAAGCCGUGAGUUAGCAGUUCAGCACCAGCGUCUUGUAGAGUCGGGAGCCGAUGAGCCCCUCCCUAUGCAGCACCAGUAGCUAGAACAUGCUCGUCUUCAUCCUACGGCGACCAACACAUCGCACAGCACCAGCAGCGGCUGCACGUGACUACAUGAGUUAAAAUCAGCAUGGCUCAUUAAAGUAGAAGCAUCGUUACCCCUCAUCAGAUAGCAAUAAAUAUUAUAUAUUUUCACUUAUAGAAAAAUAUCUAUUUAAGUUCACUGCUGAAUUAAACUAACACAGUCCAAGUGUUCUAAAAUGUUGGCUGAGUUAGAGAGCUUUAUUAUAGCUUGCUGAUUCAUACAGUUUUGUCGUUAAAACUUAUUUAGUAAAACUAGGAACACAUUACAUACAAUACAUCACGUAAGUUGUAAAUUGUUCAUCAAGUACCUCCCAUACUGCUGCUGCUACUCUCGAACUGACUAAGAAUGAAAUCUGAGAGGAGCUGUUACAACUACCAAGAAGGCAGUGGACUAUCAUUAGCACAUGGGCUAUCACCUGUAGGUCGUAGCCAUAUAUCAGGGGAGGUUUUUAGAGUUAAGACUUUAGUACUCAACUAGCUAGUAUAUUGCAUGUGCCUAUUGAAAAUGGUAACGUCACCGUGCUAAAACAACAACAAUUGAAAACAUGGAUUAUUUAACUAAAUAAUGAGCGAUGAGGACAGAGGCAUGAUUGUAAACAGAAAAAAUAAUUAUUCCAAUACAUGGGUUAUGCUUUUGGAAUUAGACAGAUAAACUAGAAAUACUCAGGCUCAAAGUUGAUACCUUUACCAAAGCAUUCUUUUUUUUGCACAUACAAAGUUUCUUUGUUCUUUACAUGUUAUAAACCCAUGUGCAAUGGUCCCAGAUCUUGUUAUAGUCGAGAAUUUGAGUAUUGGUUUACAGUAAUAUCAAUAUGGGAUUAGGAAUUCUAGCUAAUUUAAAAAGGUUGCACAGUUGCACAACAAAUAUAUGCACGAUGUCUUAUUAAGAUGUCAAAAUUUGAUGAUUAACAAUGGUACAUUCUGUCCACACAAAAGAAACAACAGAAGUAAAAUGUAGUGCAUCUAAAGAAAAAAGAAUGCUACAUUGAUUCUACUACAAAUUCCCUAUCAGAUUGUUCAGACAAUAUAAACUAAAACUGCAGUGAAAUGACCAAAUACAUACAUCCAACUGUUCAAUAUUUGCACUCUUGAAACAUAAAGGUGGUAAAACAAGGUACUGAAUAUUAUCAAAGAACAAGGUACUGAGUCAGUUUUGUAUGUAUAUACAUAACUAAUAAAUAAAAUAUGUAUAUGAUACCCUGUGCAAUCAUUGUCUUUGUGCCAAUUCCAACAUGCCUCAGACUAAUACAGAGCUCAAUGAAACAUGGCCUGCAUUGACACCAUGGCGUUCCAUAUGAGAAAAUAUCUAAACAGGAAUUCACAUUCAGGUCGAAAGAAUCUGUAAAAAAAGAGCGUGUCGUCUCCAGUGUCUGCCCCUCCAAUUCCCAAUCUAGCUAACAAACUAAGGAAUCUCCUUUUCUAAUCAUGAAAUUUUCAAGACAGACGUCACCGGAUCAGAUCAGCAAGAGACUAGGGUUCCCAAAGCGCGAUGCAGAGAGAAGCCAAGGGGCAAGCAAAAGAACCUGAUGGGACCGCAAGACGAGGCAAGAGGCCAGCGCCAUGGCUGGUGCGGCGAUGGGGGCGAUGCUAGGGCUGGGACCAACCGCCGUCGGAGGGGACACGUACUGCCCGCACGCCACCGAAGGGGCUCGGCCCCUGAGCUGCACGCAUCAUUGGAGGGGCCACGCCCUGCUCGCACGCUGCCGGAGGGCGCCCUAAGCCGCCUGCGCCGCCAUGGGGCGUGAACUGCUUGCGUGCGACUGGAGGGGCACCUGCAAGUUCGCGUUGUUCGGAUAGUGGUGAUGUCGUCGGGACUUGGAAGGUAGGAUUUGGCACCAGCGGCGGCGGCUUCUGAGUGGUGGAGUCGAGGACCACAGCUAGGGUU
RNAcentral lists this long non-coding RNA (2082 nucleotides) under Sorghum bicolor (sorghum). RNAcentral describes it as "long non-coding RNA (SBIC_LNC018705)". Lineage: Eukaryota; Viridiplantae; Streptophyta; Magnoliopsida; Poales; Poaceae. The record is from RNAcentral.